RNAcentral lists this ribosomal RNA (121 nucleotides) under Echinops telfairi (small Madagascar hedgehog). Lineage: Eukaryota; Metazoa; Chordata; Mammalia; Afrosoricida; Tenrecidae. The record is from RNAcentral.
GUCUAUGGCCAUAUCACCCUGAACGUGCCUGAUUUCAUCUGAUCCUAGAAGAUAAGCAGGGUCGAGCCUGGUUAGUCCUUGAAUGGGAGAAAUCAAUACUGAGGAAACAUUACCAUUUACA